RNAcentral lists this long non-coding RNA (241 nucleotides) under Lathyrus oleraceus (garden pea). RNAcentral's name for it is "Pisum sativum (pea) long non-coding RNA (PSAT_LNC026143)". The record is from RNAcentral. Lineage: Eukaryota; Viridiplantae; Streptophyta; Magnoliopsida; Fabales; Fabaceae.
UUUGAUCAGUGCAAUUUGAUGCACGUUCUUAUACUAUUGUACUUACGAAACCUUAUAGUUUAUUCUAUUAUUUUUACUAUUUUAGUGUAUUUUUAUAUUUAAGUUUACUUUUUGCUUUAUUUUAUUUUCGUACUUUAUUUUCAGCAUAAACUAUUAUUUGAUAUCUCGUAACUAUGCAGACCACAACUUGAGCUACGGGAAUCGGAUUGUUUCAUUUUGAUAUGUGUUGGAAAGAUAAGAG